AUGCCCUGGCAGUCAGAGGCGAUGAAGGGCGUGCUAAUCUGCGAUAAGCGCCGGUAAGGUGAUAUGAACCGUUAUAACCGGCGAUACCCGAAUGGGGAAACCCAGUGUGACUCGUCACACUAUCAUUAACUGAAUCCAUAGGUUAAUGAGGCGAACCGGGGGAACUGAAACAUCUAAGUACCCCGAGGAAAAGAAAUCAACCGAGAUUCCCCCAGUAGCGGCGAGCGAACGGGGAGGAGCCCAGAGCCUGAAUCAGCAUGUGUGUUAGUGGAAGCGUCUGGAAAGGCGCGCGAUACAGGGUGACAGCCCCGUACACAAAAGCGCAUGUGCUGUGAGCUCGAUGAGUAGGGCGGGACACGUGGUAUCCUGUCUGAAUAUGGGGGGACCAUCCUCCAAGGCUAAAUACUCCUGACUGACCGAUAGUGAACCAGUACCGUGAGGGAAAGGCGAAAAGAACCCCGGCGAGGGGAGUGAAAAAGAACCUGAAACCGUGUACGUACAAGCAGUGGGAGCACAGGUUUACCUGUGUGACUGCGUACCUUUUGUAUAAUGGGUCAGCGACUUAUAUUCUGUAGCAAGGUUAACCGUAUAGGGGAGCCGUAGGGAAACCGAGUCUUAACCGGGCGUUAAGUUGCAGGGUAUAGACCCGAAACCCGGUGAUCUAGCCAUGGGCAGGUUGAAGGUUGGGUAACACUAACUGGAGGACCGAACCGACUAAUGUUGAAAAAUUAGCGGAUGACCUGUGGCUGGGGGUGAAAGGCCAAUCAAACCGGGAGAUAGCUGGUUCUCCCCGAAAGCUAUUUAGGUAGCGCCUCGUGAAUUCAUCUCCGGGGGUAGAGCACUGUUUCGGCUAGGGGGCCAUCCCGGCUUACCAACCCGAUGCAAACUGCGAAUACCGGAGAAUGUUAUCACGGGAGACACACGGCGGGUGCUAACGUCCGUCGUGAAGAGGGAAACAACCCAGACCGCCAGCUAAGGUCCCAAAGUCAUGGUUAAGUGGGAAACGAUGUGGGAAGGCCCAGACAGCCAGGAUGUUGGCUUAGAAGCAGCCAUCAUUUAAAGAAAGCGUAAUAGCUCACUGGUCGAGUCGGCCUGCGCGGAAGAUGUAACGGGGCUAAACCAUGCACCGAAGCUGCGGCAGCGACGCUGAUGCGUUGUUGGGUAGGGGAGCGUUCUGUAAGCCUGUGAAGGUGGCCUGUGAGGGUUGCUGGAGGUAUCAGAAGUGCGAAUGCUGACAUAAGUAACGAUAAAGCGGGUGAAAAGCCCGCUCGCCGGAAGACCAAGGGUUCCUGUCCAACGUUAAUCGGGGCAGGGUGAGUCGACCCCUAAGGCGAGGCCGAAAGGCGUAGUCGAUGGGAAACGGGUUAAUAUUCCCGUACUUGGUGUUACUGCGAAGGGGGGACGGAGAAGGCUAUGUUGGCCGGGCGACGGUUGUCCCGGUUUAAGCGUGUAGGUGUGUGUUCCAGGUAAAUCCGGUUCACUUUAACACUGAGGCGUGAUGACGAGGCACUACGGUGCUGAAGCAACAAAUGCCCUGCUUCCAGGAAAAGCCUCUAAGCAUCAGGUAACAUCAAAUCGUACCCCAAACCGACACAGGUGGUCAGGUAGAGAAUACCAAGGCGCUUGAGAGAACUCGGGUGAAGGAACUAGGCAAAAUGGUGCCGUAACUUCGGGAGAAGGCACGCUGACACGUAGGUGAAGUGAUUUACUCAUGGAGCUGAAGUCAGUCGAAGAUACCAGCUGGCUGCAACUGUUUAUUAAAAACACAGCACUGUGCAAACACGAAAGUGGACGUAUACGGUGUGACGCCUGCCCGGUGCCGGAAGGUUAAUUGAUGGGGUCAGCGCAAGCGAAGCUCCUGAUCGAAGCCCCGGUAAACGGCGGCCGUAACUAUAACGGUCCUAAGGUAGCGAAAUUCCUUGUCGGGUAAGUUCCGACCUGCACGAAUGGCGUAAUGAUGGCCAGGCUGUCUCCACCCGAGACUCAGUGAAAUUGAACUCGCUGUGAAGAUGCAGUGUACCCGCGGCAAGACGGAAAGACCCCGUGAACCUUUACUAUAGCUUGACACUGAACAUUGAGCCUUGAUGUGUAGGAUAGGUGGGAGGCUUUGAAGCGUGGACGCCAGUCUGCAUGGAGCCGGCCUUGAAAUACCACCCUUUAAUGUUUGAUGUUCUAACGUGGACCCGUGAUCCGGGUUGCGGACAGUGUCUGGUGGGUAGUUUGACUGGGGCGGUCUCCUCCUAAAGAGUAACGGAGGAGCACGAAGGUUGGCUAAUCCUGGUCGGACAUCAGGAGGUUAGUGCAAUGGCAUAAGCCAGCUUGACUGCGAGCGUGACGGCGCGAGCAGGUGCGAAAGCAGGUCAUAGUGAUCCGGUGGUUCUGAAUGGAAGGGCCAUCGCUCAACGGAUAAAAGGUACUCCGGGGAUAACAGGCUGAUACCGCCCAAGAGUUCAUAUCGACGGCGGUGUUUGGCACCUCGAUGUCGGCUCAUCACAUCCUGGGGCUGAAGUAGGUCCCAAGGGUAUGGCUGUUCGCCAUUUAAAGUGGUACGCGAGCUGGGUUUAGAACGUCGUGAGACAGUUCGGUCCCUAUCUGCCGUGGGCGCUGGAGAACUGAGGGGGGCUGCUCCUAGUACGAGAGGACCGGAGUGGACGCAUCACUGGUGUUCGGGUUGUCAUGCCAAUGGCACUGCCCGGUAGCUAAAUGCGGAAGAGAUAAGUGCUGAAAGCAUCUAAGCACGAAACUUGCCCCGAGAUGAGUUCUCCCUGAGACUUAGAGUCUCCUGAAGGAACGUUGAAGACGACGACGUUGAUAGGCCGGGUGUGUAAGCGCAGCGAUGCGUUGAGCUAACCGGUACUAAUGAACCGUGAGGCUUAACCUUACAACGCCGAAG
Molecule: ribosomal RNA, 2893 nt
Filed under: Salmonella enterica
Lineage: Bacteria; Pseudomonadati; Pseudomonadota; Gammaproteobacteria; Enterobacterales; Enterobacteriaceae
Description: partial 23S ribosomal RNA
Rfam family: Bacterial large subunit ribosomal RNA
Source: RNAcentral